GUUAGAAAAGUUACCACAACGUUUGUAGUUAUGUUACUUUUUUAUCCUUUGAUGUUGGCUCCUCCUAUCAUUUUAAAGCAAAAUUCAUUAUGUUUUGAAUUAUUCACGCACCAAUAGUGAACGUGAGCGGUCUAGUCCGUCAUAAGACAAGUU
Molecule: non-coding RNA, 153 nt
Filed under: Oryza meridionalis
Lineage: Eukaryota; Viridiplantae; Streptophyta; Magnoliopsida; Poales; Poaceae
Description: rRNA LSU_rRNA_eukarya
Rfam family: Eukaryotic large subunit ribosomal RNA
Source: Rfam by way of RNAcentral